ACUACCCGUAGCUCAGUUGGUAGAGCGGUGGAACGGCAAUCCACAGUCCCGGGUUCAAGUCCCGGCGGUCGCU
Non-coding RNA from Phthorimaea operculella (potato tuberworm), 73 nucleotides. NCBI's taxonomy places the organism in Eukaryota, Metazoa, Arthropoda, Insecta, Lepidoptera, Gelechiidae. The record is from the annotation of a GenBank genome assembly.